AUCUACGGCAUGCCAUCCUGAACAAGCCCAAUCCCGUCUGAUCUCAAAGCUAAGCAGGGUCGAGCCUGGUUAGUACUUGGAUGGGAGACCACCUAAGAAGACCAGGUGCUAUAGGCG
RNAcentral lists this ribosomal RNA (117 nucleotides) under Pteropus alecto (black flying fox). The record is from RNAcentral. Lineage: Eukaryota; Metazoa; Chordata; Mammalia; Chiroptera; Pteropodidae.